AUGUUCCCUUCUGCUCUCUCCUAUCCAGUUCCUCCACGUCUUCUCCCUUUGGGUGUAUCCCACCUUGUUCGUACUAUAAUGUCUUUUUCUACCCCCUCGUUGCUUCAUUCUUGGCUGCUUUCUCAGCCAGUCCUUGUGUCCCCUUUGGGAGCUUCUUUGAGAUCCCAGGACCUCCCUUUCCUGAUGUGCAGGCAGCCUCCUUGCCUAACAAAGCCUAAUUCUCCUUUAAAAACCGUGGAAGUUUUGUUUCACCCUUUCCCUUGCUCCCGGUUGGUGUCUUCCCAAUCUCACCAUCCUUUUCCUGCUUUAAUAUCAAUACAUCCUGUAUUUUCUUUCUCCCUUGCUGCUGAUUCCUUUUUCUCAUUUCCAGUCAUAAACCCAGCCCAGUCACUCCCAGGACAAAGGACUUCGGGAAGCAGCUUUCAACUGAACCAUGGAAAAUCAGGUCAGUUUACAGUUUGUCUUCUUUCAAGGGAGUUUGUUGUCACUCAUUCCUUUGCCAACAUGCAGUUUUUACACCUCACUUGCAAUCCAACUUCUAGGACACUGGAUGGAAAGGCAUGAAGUUAUGAAAGUCACUUCCAAAUCCUGCAGCUGGCAAAAGUUCAACAUGACUGCAGAAAAGAUUGGAUGCCUUGACACAAGUGCAGUCAAGAAAAUGUGAGGCAAAGGGCCAGAGACUUCUUGCAUAGAGUCUGAACCAGUAAGACACCAUUACUAAGCUGUAAUGUGCAUAGGCUUGUCACAGGAGUGACUCAUCUGAAACCAAAGAAGUUACAUAGCAACCCUUACAUAGUAAAGUCAAGGAAGAGUUCAAAUAUAAUGCUGUUUCAUGAACAGAAAGUUACAGUGAACAAGUGAGCACCCCAACCAUCCACAAGAAAACCUCAGGAGCAGGGCCUGUAACCUCCUAGUGUCUUACAAUGGGAAGAGUCUGGAGGAGAAACAUCAGGAGAAGGUGCAAAACUGUGGCUCUGUUGAAGAAAGGCUUUCAAUACUCUCUCCUGUAAAAUUCUCACAGAGAGGGGAUAGAUCAGCAGAUAGAUACAGUAGAUUGAAAACUGGCUGAACAGCUGAAUUCAGAGGAUUGCAAUCAUGGUAGGAGAUCUAGUUGAAGGCCAAUAAUUAAAGAUGCACCCCAGGAGUCAACACUGGUCCAGUUUUAUUCAAAAUUUUAUUAAUCAACUGGAUGCUGGGAUAGAAUGUACCCUGAAAAUUUUGCUGAAGACACAAGACUGGGAGAUGAUAUGCCAGAGGGUUGUGCUGCCCCCCAGAGGCAUCUGUAUGGUCUGGAGAAAUGGACAGACAGUAACCUCAUGAAGUUCAAAAAAAAGAAGUGCAAAGUCCUGAAUCUGAAGAGGAGCAACCCCAGGCACCAGUAUAUACUGGGGGUCACCCAGUCGAGAAGAAAUUAGGCAGGAAUUUGAACAGCAGACUGAAUGUGGGCCAGCAAUGGGCCCUGGCUGCAGAAACAGCCAACUGCAUCCUGGGCUGCCUUAGGGAAUGUACUGAGGGAGAGGAAGGUGAUCCCUUGGUGCUGGUCAGUCCAGGUGUGGAGUGCUGUGUUGAGUGCUGGGCUGCUCAGUUCAGGAGAGACAUGGACACACUGGAGAGAGUCCAACCAAGGGAAGAGGGAGGAAUGAGCACCUCUUCAGAAGAAGAGAAGGUUUACAGGGAUCUCAUCAAUAUAAAUAGCUGAGGGGAGAUGAUGCCUUGGAGGAUGCAGCCAUCUUUUCUGUAAUGCUCAGUGCACUACAUGACCAGAGGCAAUGGACACAAAAUAGAAACACAGGAGGUUCCUUCUGAACACCAGGAAACACUUCUUCCCUGUGAUGAUGACUGAGCACUGGAACAGACUGUCCAGAGAAGUUGUGGAGUCCAAGCAUGUGGUUUGUUGAAAAUUUUCAAGAGUCAGUGGAAUAAAGGUCUGAAUAACCUGGUCUGAUCCUUCUGU
Molecule: long non-coding RNA, 1954 nt
Filed under: Zonotrichia albicollis (white-throated sparrow)
Lineage: Eukaryota; Metazoa; Chordata; Aves; Passeriformes; Passerellidae
Description: lncRNA (ENSZALG00000007807.1)
Source: RNAcentral